AGAGUUUGAUCCUGGCUCAGGAUGAACGCUGGCGGCGUGCCUAACACAUGCAAGUCGAGCGCGAUUAGACGGACUGGAGACUUCGGUCAAAGGGAAGACUAUGAAAGCGGCGGACGGGUGAGUAACGCGUGAGCAACCUGCCCUGUACAGGGGGAUAGCCACUGGAAACGGUGAUUAAUACCAUAUAACACCACAAGACCGCAAUCAAAGGAGAAAUCCGCUUUGAGAUGGGCCCGCGGCUGAUUAGCUAGUUGGUGAGGUAAUGGCUCACCAAGGCGACGAUCAGUAGCCGACCUGAGAGGGUGACCGGCCACACUGGAACUGAGACACGGUCCAGACUCCUACGGGAGGCAGCAGUGGGGAAUAUUGCACAAUGGGCGCAAGCCUGAUGCAGCAACGCCGCGUGAGUGAUGAAGGCCUUCGGGUCGUAAAACUCUGUCCUAAGGGAAGAACCUUCCGGAUACAUAGGAGGAAGCCCCGGCUAACUACGUGCCAGCAGCCGCGGUAAUACGUAGGGGGCAAGCGUUAUCCGGAAUCACUGGGUGUAAAGGGCGUGUAGGCGGGAAUGCAAGUCAGAUGUGAAAUGCCUGGGCUCAACCCAGGAAGUGCAUUGGAUACUGGCAGACUUGAAUACGGGAGAGGGUAGUGGAAUUCCUAGUGUAGGAGUGAAAUCCGUAGAUAUUCGGAGGAACACCGGUGGCGAAGGCGGCUAUCUGGACCGAUACUGACGCUGAGACGCGAAAGCGUGGGGAGCAAACAGGAUUAGAUACCCUGGUAGUCCACGCUGUAAACGAUGGAUACUAGGUGUGGGAGGUAUCGACCCCUUCCGUGCCGCAGUAAACGCAAUAAGUAUCCCGCCUGGGGAGUACGGCCGCAAGGUUGAAACUCAAAGGAAUUGACGGGGGCCCGCACAAGCGGUGGAGCAUGUGGUUUAAUUCGACGCAACGCGAAGAACCUUACCAGGGCUUGACAUCCUGUGACAGCUAUAGAAAUAUAGACUUCUUAGUUUACUAAGACACAGAGACAGGUGGUGCAUGGUUGCAGCUCGUGUCGUGAGAUGUUGGGUUAAGUCCCGCAACGAGCGCAACCCUUGUUCUUAGUUGCCAGCAAGUAAUGUUGGGCACUCUGGCAGAACUGCCGUUGACAAAACGGAGGAAGGUGGGGACGACGUCAAAUCAUCAUGCCCCUUAUGUCCUGGGCUACACACGUACUACAAUGGCAACAACAGAGGGCAGCCAUGCCGCGAGGCAGAGCGAAUCCCAAAAUGUUGUCUCAGUUCAGAUUGCAGGCUGCAACUCGCCUGCAUGAAGUCGGAAUUGCUAGUAAUGGCAGGUCAGCAUACUGCCGUGAAUACGUUCCCGGGCCUUGUACACACCGCCCGUCACACCAUGAGAGUCUGUAACACCCGAAGUCAGUAGUUUAACCGUAAGGAGGGCGCUGCCGAAGGUGGGACAGAUAAUUGGGGUGAAGUCGUAACAAGGUAACC
Molecule: ribosomal RNA, 1486 nt
Filed under: uncultured bacterium
Lineage: Bacteria
Description: 16S ribosomal RNA
Rfam family: Bacterial small subunit ribosomal RNA
Source: RNAcentral